Molecule: long non-coding RNA, 14748 nt
Filed under: Homo sapiens (human)
Lineage: Eukaryota; Metazoa; Chordata; Mammalia; Primates; Hominidae
Description: HSALNT0306582
Source: RNAcentral
GGAAUGUAAUCUGUAAUGUCUUCUUUCUGUGCCUCCUAGAUCAAGUCAGAUGGCACCGUAUUCUUGAUUUAAAACAAUGCAUCUUUUAUUGAACAAUGCUGUUAAUCAAACAGAAAACCAUCUAUAUACAAGUUACACAAUUUUUUUUUUUGCCACUACUGGAAUUCAGAAUAAUUCCAAAUGACUCCAUCCAUUCCAGGAUGGAGCUGGAGCCAAACAAAACUUCAACAGCAGUUUCUUCAAGGCUCAAAUGGUCACAACUUCAAUGUAUUUUCUCAUUGUGAACAAGCUGCUCAGUGGUCACAGCACCAUAUGUAGCAUGGCAGUUGUCUGUUCCAAUUAUGAAAACACUAGCACUUCCAUUAGGCUCUGAAAUGGAAUAGCCCAAUGCCCUGAAACACCUGGGUCUCUUUUUCUAGAAAGAACAAAAUAUACAAGAGUCAACAUAAAUCCAAGUGGGGCUGCAUGCAUGGACCAGAACUUUGAAAACACUGAUGUAUCACAGAAGGUCAGUAGGUACAAUCUUAUGGCAAGAGUAGCAAAUACAAGCCACCAUUAGUUCAAUUCUGGGCGUUCUGGGGGCCCUGCUUCACUUGUUCUUCACAUUUGAGGUUGAUGAUGAUUUAACUAAAGUUACCUGUAAAAUAUACUAGAAUCCAGUUAAAGUCCACAGCUUGGACCCUAAAGCCAGUGCUUUAAUAAAGUCAAAUUUUAAAAGAGUACAAAAUAAUCAGAACAACCACUUCUUGUGAGGUGCUUACCUGACUGCCACAACUUGACUGUACUAAGCAAUAUCACUUAAUAUCCAUAACAAGUCAAAAAGGUAGCUCUUGAGCUCAUGACGGAUGUGGCUACCAAGGCUUAGAAAGGUCAAUCAAUUAGUAAGCAGCAAAAUCCUGAUUCAAACUCAGGUUUAGUCCAAAGUCCAAGAUCAUAAACAAGCUUUGUUAAAUAGACUUUGCAGAAAAGACUGUGGGCUUUCUAACAAAGUGAGUAUAGGGACAUAUACUUACUUUCUGAUGCUUGCAACCUAGAGAAGUAAGGCUUAGAGUCGACUGCCUUUGGGGUAGAUUCUCUUACCACCUAAAAGGCUGAUCCUGGUAUUAAUACUUUUUACCAGAUUCUUCCAAGUUGUUUGCACAGAUAUACCUAGACACACACUCAAAUCUCUAAGCAUUCAGGCACAGAGCAGAAUUCAUGCAAUUAUGUAUUAUAACCUUCAGCCAAAGUAAGUUGUCUAGAUUUAUCAGCUUAAUCUAAAAUAUUAGAAACUUCAACUUUAAUAUGUCCUUCUAUAGCACAUUAUAAACAUAACACAUAUAUGUAUGAUAAAUGCCUUUAAAUAUCCUAUAAUCUUCAUUCUCUUACCUCCAGUAUCUCAUCUACUAGGCAGUUAACUACUCAAAGGCAAAAGGGAAAAUAAAAUUCACCUUUGUGUCCCAGCAUCUCAAGAGGCCUUGCUUGGUACACUCAAGCAAAACAUUGGUUAAAUAGAAAUAAGAUCACAUGGCAUUUGUUUUUUUAAAAAUAAGCAAUCUCCAACACAAGGCCUACUAACACAAUAUAAUAAUGGUUGUUCUUCUCACAUGGAAGUCCAAGUCUAUGGGUUAUCACUGAGGGCUGAGCAAAGGCUUACCACACAGCCUUCAAGCUGUAACAACACAGCCAUUUUACUAGGGGCAUUUAAAAAAACAAAGGUUCAGAGACAGUUGUCUGAAAGAGAGCCUUCAGAAAGCCUUCAGAGGACAACUGUUACUAGAAAAAAAAAAAAAAGAUUUGAUCACAAGCUUAUUUGGCCUUUACUAUUUCAAUAGUGAACAGUGGCUUUAUUCAUCCAGUUCUCAUUUUAUCUGUAAUUUUUCUGAAGGAUAUGUAGUUACUGUUGGUUCUGGGUAUAUAACAAAAUGAACACAGACUGAAAAGAUGAUGAGCUUGCCAUCACAAGGCUGUCAAUUUACUUUGAAACAUUUAUAUUUAUUCUACAUAUAGCUUAUAUUUACAUAAUAUUUUUGCAUUGGGAGUCAAAACAGAAUGUUAGGAGCACGGCUUUUGAGUCGAGAAAUUUGAUUUUCAGCUUUAUUACCUACUAGAAAUAUGUGUUCUCAGGUAAGAUUUUUAACUUCCCUAAUCCUGAGUUUCUCAUAUAUGAGACAGGGAUAUACCUACCUUUCAGGUUUCCUGAGCUACCAUUCAUGUUUACUGAAACGAUUAAAGAAAUACACAAGUGACCUAUAUUGUAUUAUUACUGAACAUGCAUGAAAUCCACAUUUAAACCCACAUUAGGGCUACCUUAAAAUCCUCACAAUAAACAAAGCCACUAAUAUGUAUUUAAAGACUUAUUCUGAUAUCGAAUUGUGUAAACCUACUGGCAAGCAGGAAGAUACCAAAAUUCCCACCCAUCCUCCAGUCACUGCUAGAGGUCUGAGAGUUCUAAGUCAGAAUUGCCCACUUUUCUUUUGUGGCUUCUCUUUUAAUCAUGCUUAAAGGUUCUCAAACUUUAACACGCAUAAGAAUUGCUUUCUAGGAGCUCAUCAUCACUAGUCAUUAGAGAAAUGCAAAUCAAAACCACGAUGAGAUACCACCUCAUGCCAGUUAGAAUGGUGAUUAUUAAAGUCAGGAAACAACAGGUGCUGGUGAGGCUGUGGAGAAAUAGGAAUGCUUUUACACUGUUGGUGGGAGUGUAAAUUAGUUCCACCAUUGUGGAAGACAGUGUGGUGAUUCCUCCAGGAUCUAGAACCAGAAAUACCAUUUGACCCAGCAAUCCCAUUAUGGGUAUAUACCCAAAAGAUUAUAAAUUAUUCUACUAUAAAGACACAUGCACACGUAUGUCUACUGCAACACUAUUUACAAUAGCAAAGACUUGGAACCAACCCAAAUGCCCAUCAAUGAUAGACUGGAUAAAGAAAAUGUGGCACAUAUACACCAUGGAAUACUAUGCAGCCAUAAAAAAGGAUGAGUUCAUGGCCUUUGCAGGGACAUGGAUGAAGCUGAAAACCAUCAUUCUCAGCAAACUAACACAGGAACAGAAAACCAAAUGCCACAAGUUCUCACUCAUAAGUGGGGGUUGAACAAUGAGAACACAUGGACACCGGGAGGGGAACGUCACACAAUGGAACCUGCUGGGAUUGGUGGGAAAGGGGAGGGAGAGCAUUAGGACAAAUACCUAACGUAUGCAGGGCUUAAAACCUAGAUGACAGGUUGAUAGGUACAGCAAACCAUGGCAUGUAUACCUAUGUAACAAACCUGCACGUUCUGCACAUGUAUCUCAGAACUUAAAGUAAAAUUUAAAAGAAAUAAUAAUUGCUUUCUAGGGUUGUUUCACUACAGAAUUGAACAUGUACUUUCAUGGGCAACUUCAGGUAUUUUUGGGAUAAUUUUAACUAUACACAACUUUCACUUUAUUUUUAUCUUAAGAAUUGCACCUCUUUAUAAAAUUCUUUUUGAGAAAGAGUCUCACUCUGUUACCCAGGCUGGAGUGCAGUGGUGUGAUCUCAGCUCACUGCAGCCUCCGCCUCCCAGGUUCAAGCGAUUCUCCUGCCUCAGCCUCCCAAGUAGCUGGGACUACAGGUGUGUGCCACUAUGCCCAGCUAAUUUUUUGUAUCUUUAGUAGAUACGGGGUUUCACCAUGUUGGCCAGGCUGGUCUCGAACUCCUGACCUCGUGAUCUGCCCACCUCGGCCUCCCAAAGUGCUGGGAUUAUAGGCAUGAGCCAUGGCACCCAGUCUGAGCCACCGUGCCUGGCCAUGAAAAGAUUUUUUUAAAAGAGGAUCAGGUAAUAUCAUUCUAAAAAAUGACCAAGAAAGAAUUUUUAAAUUUCUCCAUUAUCAUUAGAAACAUCAGAGGAAAUCAAUCGUGGAACUUUUUUUGUUGUUAGAGAUAGGGUAUCUUACUUUGUCACCCAGGCCGUAGUACAGUGGCAUGAUUACAGCUCACUUCAGCCUCGAACUGCUGGGCUCAAGCAAUUCUCCCACCUCAGCCUCCCAAGUAGCUAGGACUACAGGGAGUGUGCCACUAAGCCAGUUUUUUUGUGUGUGGUUUCUUUUUUUAAUUUUCACAGGCACAGGAUCUUGCUGUUGCCCAGGCUGGUCUCAAACUCCAGGCCUCAAGCAGUUCUCCCACCUCAGCCUCCCAAAGCACUGGAAUUACAGAUGUGAGCCACCACACCCUGCCAGAACUUCUGAUAAUUACUGGUGAAAUAAUAAAAGUAUAGGCCAGGUGCAGUGGCUCACACCUGUAAUCCCAGCACUUUGGGAGGCUGGGGUGGGCGGAUCACCUGAGGUUGGGAGUUCAAGAGCAGCUUGGGCAACAUGAUGAAACCCCGUCUCUACUACAAAUACAAAAAUUAGCCGGGCACAGAGGCAUGCACCUGUAAUCCCAGCCACUCUGGAGGCUGAGGCAGGAGAAUCGCUUGAACCCAGGAGGUGGAGGUUGCAGUGAGCCAAGAUUGUGCCACUGCACUCCAGCGUGGGCAACAGAGUGAGACUCCAUCUAAAAAGAAGAAAAAGAAAAAAAAAACUAUAGGUGUUUAAUGUUAAAGACUUGUUUAAUUAAAUGAGAAAUGAGACCUGGUAAAUUCACAAAUGAUCUGGAGAUUUCUAAGCCAAACAAUGCUUUCCAAAAAGUGGACCCUGAGAACCAAACCAAACAUUCUGCUAUAAAAGGCCACUGGAGGGUGUAAACACUGGCAAGAGGAAGGGCUGCACAAGCCCAGGAGGCCACAGAGUUCUAAAUGGCUUCUCCAGGUUCGCAUCUGGAUGGCCAAAUUAGUUGGUGUAGAGUGACUUUAUGGUAAGGCCCUGGGAAUCCAAGUUUAUGGCAUCCUGGUCCCAAAACAUUUGGCUUCCUAGGUUCACCAGGCAGAAGUCCUUGGGAAUAAAGAACCCUGAUUAGUCAAGAUACUCCAUUGUCACCAAAGAGAAAAUUUCUUUGGAAGAACAACAAAGGUGACCAUAUCAGGGAAUGAAAGGGCCAGAACUGAACCUAACAAAGCUAUUCACCCAAUUCACUGCCUUUGCAUUUUAGGUUCUCUAGCUUUCACAAAUAAGACAUUUAGCAGUACUGAACUCACUGGGCAAAACUGAGUGUUGCCAUGGUGCAAAUCUGAUCAUGACAUAUCCAACUUCUCCUGCUAUUAGUUAUCAUAAUGCUUCCUUCUAUGCCAAUAAAAAAAAGAAUGUUAUUCCUUUUUUAUUCAAUUUAUUCAAUGAGGGCAGAUGAGACUAUUUUCAAUCUUUCUGCCACUGUAAAAUUGUCAUCUUCUUUACCUUCCCCACCAAAAUAAAACUAUUAUUAUCCUUUACUAUUCCCAUUUAAAUCCAUACCCUCUCUUGCCCUGUUCCCUAUUAUUAGAAAGUUUUAUCUAGUCAUAAAUCAACUACCUACAGUUCCUUAUAAGAUUGAUUUAUAUUUCUAAAUCAAAAUGAAACAAUAAUUGCUACUAUCCUCUCAGUUCCAGAAAACCACAUAUGCUGUCCUCAAACCCCAAACCACAAAUGCUAAAAAUUAUGAAUAAGAGGAAUGUCUAUUUGCUUACAUUAUAAUGAAUAAAGAAAUAACUAGAGUCUUGCAUUGAGAACAAUCAGCUCAUUCUUGACCUAGCAUCCUAUUUAUCUUUCUAUUCUCAAGGCUAAUUGCUUAUAUAAGCAUGCCAAUUUGCCUUGAUUAUAGGAUUCUUAAUAAAUGAAUGUUGUUUACAUUUCACAAGUAUAUUUGAAUUUCACUACAGGAAGCCAAGCUCAUCAAGUCUUUGUAAAUGGUAAAACCAGAGAUCAAAGCAAAAGGGCUGCAUUGAACCAACAAACAAUUAGGCUACAGAAUGGAGGCCUAAGCAAAAAUGCAAUUGAUUUAUUGAUUGUUCUACUCCAGAAGUAUACUUCUGGGUCAUUGCUUAAUCUUACACCAUAUGUAUAGAAUUUUCUCACAAAUUUUCAUUAUGAUAAUUUGGUGGUCAUUUCUUAAAUAGUUAAAUAAAGUCUCUCUACCAUUCAACAGGAUUUAUCCUUUUCUUCUGUAUUUUUUCAUCUUGUUGCUUUUAGUUGAAUCAAAUAUCUUUCAUUUUUUUAACUCUUCUCAACCUUCUCAAUUUUGCCUAAUCUAUCCAAAAUUUUGUUUAACUUCUUAAACAAUCCCUUUUCUAUUACACUCAUUAUCUUGUUUUCUGCUGGUUUUAACUCAUAGGCAAAUUGGCUUGGUCUUUGGGGUAGGAAGAAAAAGGGGGAAAACAUCUAGCACAGUGGCUGUCAACCUUGGCUGCACAUUCAAACCUUCUAGGGAGCUUUUAAAAAUCCUGAUGCCCAGGUCACAUUCCAGACAAAUUUAUCAGAAUUUCUGGGAGUGGAACCCAGGCAUUUGUGGGUUUCUGUUUUUGUUUUUGUUUUUGUUUUAGAGAUAGUCUUGCUCUGUUGCCCAGACUAGAGUGCAGUGGCAUGAUCAUAGCUCACUGCAACCUCAAACUUCUGGGCUCAAGCAAUCCUCCUGCCUCAGCCUCCCAGGUAAGCUGUGACUACAGGCAUGCACCACCACAUCUGCUAAUUUUCAUUAGUAGUAGAAAUGAGGUCUCCCUAUGUUGCUCCACACUGGUCUAGGACUCCUGGCCUCAAGUGAUCCUCCUGUCUUGGCCUCCCAAAGUGCUGGGAUUACAGGCGUGAGCCACUGUACCUGGCCCACUUGUACUUUCUGAGGAUCGCCAAGUGAUGUCAAUGCACAACCAAGUUUGAGAACCACUACUUUAACUUACCAAUACCCUUAUUCUAGCUUAAAUAAGGUGUUCUGCCAAACUUCCACGGAGAGAAAAAAAACAAGGAAGGGAAGUCAGGUUCCUGAGCAAACCCUCAACCAAGACAGGUCUUGAGACUAGUGAGAUGUGUUAUUUAAAAGCACCAUCAGUCACACGUUAGUGUCCCAGCACCAGGCACAUGGUCAAAAAUGUGAACUAUUUAAGCCGGGUGUGGUGGCUUAUGCCUGUAAUCCCAGCACUUUGAGAUGUCAAGACUGGUGGAUCACUUGAGGUCAGGAGUUCAAGACCAGCCUGGCCAAUGUGGUGAAACCUUGUCUCUACUAAAAGUACAAAAACUAGCUGGGUGUGGUGGUGCGUGCCUGUAAUCCCAGCUACUCAGGAGGCUGAGGCAGGAGGAUCGCUUGAACCCAGGAGGCAGAGGUUGCAGUGAGCUGAGAUCACGCCACUGUACGCCAGCCCAGAUGACAGAAGGAGAAUCCAUCUCAAAACAAAAAAAUAUGAACUAUUUGAUAUUUGACAUCAUUCCCAAAACCAAGCCAUGGGCAUCUUCUAUGCACAGAAGUCAGUCAAGUGAGAUUACUUCUGGGGAUAGCAGGGUCUAAACACCUCAAGGCUUUCAGCUUCUGUGGCAAUGGUUACAGGGGCUUACAAAUGCAUCAGAACUUCUGCAAAGAAAAAAGGAGACUAAGGUUACAUGUGAAAUGAGAGUCACCAAAGUCAAUUACAGGCUAAACAAGAACACUGAAGAUCAUGGAAUCACAGAAACUAUAUGAAGUUUGUCCUAGAAACUAUACAAGACUAGAAAUCAUAGAGAGUUUGUGAUAAUUGCCUACCAGUGAACACUGAUGGUCAUGUUUUUCUGUUUGUUUUUUCAGAGAGUGAAAAGAAUGUACAUUUUUAUCUGUCAACAUCAAAUACCAUCAUACCUGGUAAAUAGGGCUGAAUGUUGCCCAAUUUCAGAAUUCCAAGCCCGUCUGGUCCACAUCUCCGGGCCUUGGUUGAGAUCACAGUUCAAGAGGCAGCUCUCCAACCUAACAGCUCUUCCCUUAGACAUUGCUUCCAAAUUAUAUGCUAUCAGUUGGAAACUGCAUAGUCCUUGGCAUUUAUGUUGAAAGACAGGUUUCUGGAAAGGAGGAAGGGGUCACUGGGGAGGAGGGAGGAAGAUCACCCUGCAGUAUGAACAGAUGGAAUUCUAAAGGGAAGACAAGCAAUGAGCUAUCUCUGUCCCCAGUGUUCAAGUAGGUGAGAACUAAGAAGGUACAUGAAGGCUCUCUAAGGAACCAUGACUCCAAAGCCUAGGGACACACUUCUUAUUUGCAGGGAUGGCAGUGGCACUCCAUAAAGAGCCGCUCUACAAGAUGAGAUCUGCCAAGCAACUGUAUAGCUUGUAACUCACCUUCCCUCCUAAGUUCCUCUAGGCUGUUCCUUCUUUUAUAAGGAUUCAAUGCUUUGUUCCUAAAAGUACUCCAGUUACAGCGUCCUCUUGCAAAGGAGGGGCAAUCAUCUAUAAUCAGUGCUUCUUGUAUUAGCUACUUUUUUGACAUCUAUUACUUGCUUAAACCUGAGGGCUGGAGAGCCCACUUUACCUUGUCCCUAUUCCCCAAGCUCUAAAUAUGAAAAAGAAGAGCACUGUUCAUUAAGACCAAACCCUUUAAGCAACAGUUCUUAUAAAGUCAAAUGAAUUUCCAGAACAAACAUCAGCCCAUACGUAUCUUUUUCUUCUUUAAGCCCAGGAAGCACCUACCAGGAGAUCUUUCCCCACUCUCAGGUGUUAUAAUUCUAUGUCUAGAACCUGCAAGUUGCAGACUCACCUCAAAGAGGGCAACUUUCGAGCCAAUAAUGUACUUCCUAUCUUCUUGGGCUGCAAAGGGCCUUCCAAUCACCAGUGUUUGUCACACAGAUUAUCUGAAUAACUUUAACGGAGAACUCACCAUCCAUUUUCAACAACUCUACAUGUUAGAAUAUUUUUCCCUAUGCUCAUAUGACUUUCAGUCACUGACCCUGGGGAAUUCUACUCUUUAGACCACACAGAACACCCCUACACACAUUUCCACCUGAAAGCUCUUCAAAAGCCAAUGUCAACUAAUGAAUCACAAUGUAUUAUGUUCUGGAAAUUUUGUUUUCAAGUGGUAUGAUUUCCAUCAUCUCACGACUAUGUUAACAAUUGUGCCAAAUUUUAUUCCCAUUCACAAAGGAGGAAAACCAAGGGCCAGAGGAAAGAGUUUCACUUGUCCAAGUUGGUGCAGCAAAUAUGAUUCUAGAAACUAGGUCUCCUGCCUCCCAGGCCAAUGCUAAAUGACAGGCCACAAGCCAAAGUACUUCUUAUCACUUACGGAUUUAAGGCCACGCAUACCAUCUCUCCCCAAAUUUCAUCACUUUACACUGUUGCCAGUCUCUUCCUGGAGCCAAACAUUUGCAUUUGAUCAACUUCUAUCCUAGAUACCCCAAUAUAUUGUCACAGUUUUUACUGGUAUUAUUAGGAGGAAAAAAUGCAUCCUGAUAAUGAUAACAGCCCUAACCAUAUAUUCCCACUUUGGAGAAUAAAACAGCUCAGGGAGUUACUGCCUAGGGUGAAACUGUAAUGGUUCAAAGUGCCAACACUCCACCACCCCUCUUCCACACUCUCUUCCCCUCACAACAGGAGAAAGAAUGUGAGAAUACAAAUCAGCAGCAUCUGAUGGCCUCACUACACUCCCACCCGCCCAUCUGCUUAACAGACUUUAUGGCAAGUGCUUUCCUUGGAAGUGGCUGAAAGGGAGCAACACCUUGCAGUGGGAAGUAAACUUAAAUGUUAAAACUUGACCUUCCGGCCGGGCACAGUGGUUCACACCUGUAAUCCCAGCACUCUGGGAGGCUGAGGCAGGUGGAUCACGAGGUCAGGAGUUCAAGACCAGCCUGGCCAAGAUGCUGAAACCCCAUCUCUACUAAAAAUACAAAAAUCAGCCGGGCAUGGUGGCACACACCUGUAAUCCCAGCUACUCAGGAGGCUGAGGCAGGAGAAUCACUUGAACCCGGGUAGCAGAGGUUGCAGUGAGCCAAUAUUGCACCACUGCACUCCAGCCUGGGCGACAGAGCAAGACUCCAUCUCAAAAAGAAAAACAAACAAAAAAAACAACAACUUGACCUUCCUUUCCUUUUCACAGGUUUCGCAUUUGGAGUAUAUGCGUUGCACUGACAGGUUGCCUAUUCCUUCUGAUUUGGAGAACAAACUUUUCAGCCAAGGUAUUUCAAAUCUGCCUUGAAAAGAAAAACUGAAGAGCACCUUUUUGGACCAGAUCAAUUUUUAACUCCAUGCUUGAAAAUAGAAGAGCACAGUGAAGAUGCCAAAAGGCUUGACAUCUAAAGAGAAGAAACUUCAAAUGCACCUCACUUCAGUCACUUCUGAAGAAUUUCUGCCAACUUUAUCCAGUCUGAAAUUUGCACUAACCAGACAGGAAUUUUUUACUGCUAGUCGCAGGCCCUUUUUUUCUUCCCAGUUCUAAGCCUAUGGAAGCAUAAUAUAAAAGAAAGGCCAGGGGGAGUAGGGAACAGAUCCAAAUCUCUGCUGAAAGACUAGAUUGGUUAUUUAAUAACUGUAUAAUUUUAGGCAACUUAGAUAUCUUUUUCUUUUUUGAGACCUGGUCUUACUUUGUCACCCAGGCUGGAAUGCAAUGGUAUGAACACAGCUCACUUCAGCCUCGACCUCCAGGACUCAAAUGAUCCUCCCACCUCAGCCUCUUGUGUAGGUGGGACUACAGGUGCAAGCCACCACACCUGGCUAAUCUUUUUUUUUCUUUUUUCAUAGAGACAGGAUCUCACUAUGUUGCCCAGGCUGGUCUCGAAUUCCUGGGCUCAAGUGAUCCUCUCACCUCAGCCUCCCAAAGUGCUGGGAUUAUAGGGGUGAGCCACUGUGCCCAGCCUAAAUAAUCAUUACUUAUGCAUCUAUAGUAUUGCUGAUAGCAUUAGUUACUGUGAGCAUUAAAUGAGAACAUGUAAAAGGCCUACUCAUAGUAGAUACUCAGAAAAUGUUCCCACUCCUUCCUAAAACAAAAUGACCACAUUCAAUCUCAGGACAUGCAGAAAAAAAAUGAGAAGGAAAUGGACUCAAAUUAAUCAGAUACCAAAGCAGUUCCUGAUACCAAAUAUAAUACUGCCCUAAACCAUUACUUCCUAAUAAUUUUAAAUCUGUUUGCAGUGCUGCCUGACACCUGAUAUUGCACAAGAUACAGCAGCUAAGACACAGACUUAAAAUUGUCCUUUCCUCUGAAACUCAACAAAAGAAUUUUAAGGAUAGCUCUUCAACAAAGGCAUCCAAGGGUGUGCCUUUUAAGUUGUAAACAGUGACUGCAAGCCAAAAAUGAGUGAAUAAUAUUAUGCAGUGUCUAAUGUAGAAACAGGUAUUCUCGGACAAAAACCAUCAGUUGUUCACCACAUCCACCCAGAACCACCUUCUUAUCAUCAUCUUUAAAAAUAAAAGACAUGGGAGUAUUUGUGGAUGUGUGUAUGUAACCCAGGAUGUCCAAUCUUUUGGCUUCCCUGGGCCACACUUGGAAGAAGAAGAAUUGUCUUGGGCCACACAUAAAAUACACAAAAACUAACGAUAGCCGAUGAGCUUAAAAAAAAAUCAUGAAAUAAAUCUCAUAAUGUUUUAAGAAAGUUUAUGAAUUUGCGUUGGGCCCAUGAGGCCCACAGGCAGUGGUUGACAAGCUUGAUGUAACCCCCAAAAUUAGACAAUGGUUAAUAAAUACAAUGGAGGGCCACAUGGCUAUUACAGAUAUGAAGAACCCCCAAAAAACACAGGCUAAUAUUACCUAUGAAAUAUAUACAUCCUUACAUCCUAAAAGAACAAAGAUUGAAGUACGUGGCUGACUUUAUAAUUUAUGAAACACUUCCAUAUAAAUUAUACAUAGGUUAGAGUAUAACAGAAACAUUGCACAUACACACACACAAAGGCAUAUGCAUAUAUGUGUGUGUGUGUGUGUGUGUGUGUGUGUGUGUAUCUCACCUUCCAGCUGUACCUGAAAGGUCAAUACAGGGAAGCAAAUGGUUUAAAUGUAUACACUAAGACAGUAAUUUUUUCCCUUAAAUGUAAGUUUUAUAACUAUUACUAUAAUGAUACUGAAGAUACCUAUCCUUGGGAGGAUUAAACUCCUAACACUGGGAUCCAAUUUUUGCUAGUCACUAACUCCAUUUUUUUCUAUUAAAAAGAUUACUUUUCAAAGUUCACCCCUCUAGUCUUAAUUCAUUAGUCUUUUAUUCUCUCAUUUCCAUUCAUACCCACUAAUUUUUUAUAUUCGCACAAUUUAACCCAUAUAAACUGAUGGGGAGGGAGGGUAUAGUCAUUGAAUAGAUUUGUUCUCUCUUAAGGCUUUCCUAACAAGAAAUAAAAUGGACUUUUGUCAUUUUAAUUUUUGUUUACUUCUCUCUGAGGCCUUAAAUAUUCUAGAGCUGGAAGUUGGGAGGAACUGUUCUCCUAGCUUGAAACAGUCUGUUAAUUAUUGAUGUUAGCCAUACUUACAAUGAGGUGCUUAGACACUUUUCUAUACGGUAUUACUAUCUGGUUUUCCUCCCAAAACACCCGUAUGAUCUUUAUUAUACAAGAAAGUUGAACUGGUAUCAAUAAUGCCAACACAAUUUCCAUUGCCCUCCACAUACAUACUUAAAAAUCUGCCACUUAAAACUUGUCCUUCAAGAUUGAUGUCCACAAUUAAAUGGUUUGAACUGAUUUCUUAAGCAACUCAUGAAGAAAAGCAAAGUUGAGAUUAUCACACACACAACUCCAGAAAAAAAAAAAAAACAAGAGAAAUCACCAACACUGCGCACUUCUAUUGGCCCACGGAGAUGAUCUGGAAGGUUUCAACUCCUCUCACAGAUUGUCAAAGAGCAAGUGGAGCUGACCUGGGACAAGGAACGCAUCAAUGGUCCAAAUGCGUCCCUAGGAAGAGGGUUCCCAAGCUGACCUGGUCCCCCAAAAGCUUUGUCUCUACUCAAUAAAAGGUCAGCCUGGUAUUGUUUUUGUUUCUUGAUUGAGAGGCUUAGAAUAUUGUAAACAAUUUUAAAAGGAAUUGCACCCAGUAACUGCGACACACAGUAGUGUAAAAGUAGCCACAACAACCCUGCCCCAAGAAGCUUGGGAUGUACAAUCAUAAUUGUCUAAAUACUAUAUUUGCAACUGCUAGCCUUAACAAGAACACAAAUCCACCAUGUUAAUGAUGGGACAUUAUUUUUCUAAAGAUUAAUUCACACCAUGUGUUAUUAAUCAGCAGGGUAAAUGAAAGCUCAAGCAAAAAAAAAUGCUAUCCUAGUCAAGCAGAACUUAAUUGCAUUAUUGUUAUUAUUAUGGCUGCUGCACUGGUUUCCCUGUGUCACUGGCUCCUCCACCACAAGUAUUCAGACACACACACACACACACACACACACACACACAGAGCACCACAGCAUGGAUGGAAAAACAAAAAAGCCAGAGCCAGGAGGAAAAAAAGCCAGAGCCAGGAGGUAAGAACCAUAUGUCUAGUAGGAAGAGGGUUUUGAAGAAAAACGUUUGUCUCUGGAAAAGCAGGUCAAGUAUGCACCCAGGCCGCCUUGAGAGUUAUGCCUAGGCCGUUUCAUUUCAGUGUCCCAUCUUGCACAACGGUGGGAGCAGCUGUGGGAGAUCACAGGAGAUGCAAAGCAACACAAGCAACCUCAUCUGUCUCCCCGACGGCCACACCAGAGUUUCCAGGUGGCGGGAGAGAGAGCUCAGUUCUCCCAAAGAGCACACAGCUAACCUGCCAUCCAGAACAUCACUUCCCAUACCAAACCAUUCCUUUUUCAAGGCCUGAAGGCAGGCAAUUUGAACGUCCUGUAGCUGAGCACACCUCAGAAAACCGAUUUUUGAUCUAGAACUCGAGUCCUCUGCCAAAGUUCUAAGUUUUCAUGAAAACAAAAGAAGAAAAGAAAACCCGCAGGCAGGCACAAUCGUUGGCUGCCCGGAUCACGAGUUUCCCUUGCUGCCUAGUCUUGUGGAGUUUAGAGGUAACCAACUAGGAAAAGAGAAGUGUCCAAGUGUCAGGAGUAGGAAUGAGCCCAAUCUCGCCUGUGUGUGUCCCUCCCAACAUCCCUUAGAAGAGGCUGGGACACUAAAACUGGUAGUCUGGGGGACCAACAGCAGUCCAGAUCCUGGCUGGGGCAAGCCGCCACACCCUCUGCAGCUCACAGCACAAGCCUCGGCUGGGAGGGGCCCAGACACUGUCCCAGCAGGAAAGGGAGAAAGAGGGGAGUUUUCAGAGUCCUGGAUUUGAGGAGCUGGAAAGCUGGGAGAAGCGGAAUGCAGGAGGGAGCGGGGGACCUGGCUGGGCGUGCAAGAGGAGGGGAGGGGUCGCCCGUGCAGUCAGGACAGCUCGCAACACGUCCCCGCAAAACUCCACAUUUUUGUGGUUUAAGAUUUAAGUCUAGAGGGAACGCGCUGAGGUUCUCCCCGGCCUGGGUUUCAGAUGCCCCUGCUCCUCGCCAAGGGCCGGGGCGCCGCACUGCUGUGGGUCUCCGCUUUCCCUUUCGGGGAAGCUCCCCUUGGCCAAGCCGCGACGUGAGCCCUCCAAGUUCGCCUCCGCUCACCGCCCGGCGCGGCGCCCGCGGCCGGCCACAUGCGCCCCAUCUGCCGGGGACUUCGCAGGUCCCGGGCUGGCCGCCCGAGGGAUGGUCCGCAGGGGCUCAGGGUGUUUUGUUUUGUUUUGUUUUGUUUUGUUUUUUUUAAAAAAAAAGCCUAAGCGGCUCGCCACCUCCUCCUCCCAGCCCGCGCCACCUUCUCUUCACGCCCACGCCGCACCUCCCGGGCACACGCGCCGUGAGGUGCCUCUCCAGCCAGACAAUGGGUUCGAGGCUGGUUGGGCAGCCGGCCCUGAGCCCCCAUCCCCAUCCCGGGACCCCGAGAGACUGAGCGCGGGGGACUGCCAGGGGGGUGAAGAGGAGUGCUGGGGGGCCACAAAGGGGAAAGCGGGAGCCUCCCCCUCGGGAAUGGAGGCUCGCUCCCGGCACGGGGUGAAGGGGAGGGGCGGG